CUAGCCCGGUCUUCAGGGCCGCGAGAUCCGCGGGUCCGGCGCCCGCCCGACCCGACGAGGGGAGGAGGAGCUGUGCAAGACGGGAAAACUCGGGAGCCGCUAGGAAGAGGAGUGUAAAGCUUUGAGCUGUGGGAAUAGGAGGAUGGCUGUGGACGGCCGAGCGCUCGCGAGGCGAGACAGAGACCAGAUGUCAAGCCGACUUCAUCCGACAACCACCAUCCUUGACCACUCCUUGCUUCACAUUGUCUUCAUCACAUGACUGCUGGUGUCUCGCUGAGAAGAAACUGUUGGCAGUUAUUUCAAGGCAUAUGUGGAGAAUGAUAUUCAUUACCAUCAACACAGAAGAGGCAUAGAAAAUUCACCAUCUAUCCAACUGGCUGUCUUGGGACCAGAAUUCCGAGCUCAGAAUUCUAUGGCAGGGCUAUUCCCAAGACACCUGAUGGACAUCAUGGACUGGAAGUUUGUACCUUGGAUCCAUUGCUAAUUGUAAGAAAUAUUUGACUCCUACUAUUGGUUUAGUUAAAGGUAAUCAGUUCUACCUUGCACCUCAGCAUUGGUUGUGGUUUUCUGGAGCUCUGUGUUGAAGAUUUUGAGACUGAGUGAACUCUGUCAGCAGGUGCUAG
This 623-nucleotide long non-coding RNA is filed under the name Cavia porcellus (domestic guinea pig). RNAcentral describes it as "lncRNA (ENSCPOG00000040748.1)". Lineage: Eukaryota; Metazoa; Chordata; Mammalia; Rodentia; Caviidae. The record is from RNAcentral.